Carassius gibelio (silver crucian carp) is the source of this 2431-nucleotide RNA transcript. RefSeq lists it as uncharacterized. The transcript is spliced from 7 exons. The record is from RefSeq and is a predicted model, not a curated record. Lineage: Eukaryota; Metazoa; Chordata; Actinopteri; Cypriniformes; Cyprinidae.
ACGACAGUCAGGUCAAAUAAUUCGUAUUUUUAAAUUCUCAGGGUGAGCGGGGUCAAAGUUCACUCGUGCGUGUCCCUCAUGAGAGACUUAACAGGUUUCAGUCAGUCAGUCCGUGGAGGAAUAACAAGAUCUCAUGACGAUAGAACGAUGACAAAACAAGACAUACAGCAACGUCUUUUGUGUUAAUGGCUGAAAUGAAGAUUACACUGGGCAAAAAUAAUGGUAGUUUUACAUCCGUCCUCCAAAUCCUGAUGCUGUAAAGGGGUUAAUAAAAUAAUAUAAAAUAAAAUAAACAUAUUCCACUCCACCGGUCCUGGGGUGGGUGGACCACUAGUAUGGACCCCUGGCAAAAUCUGGUGUCCAGAUGUUCGGCAUGGUGGCAGAUGCAUACACCGCAUGCUCUGAGAAUUUGUGUGUAUGAAGUGUGUAAACCUCUGGUGCCACUUCUGCUGGUCAUUGCAGCCCUGGUGGCUGUGAUUGUGUAUGCUCUGGCAGAUAAACUACACAGUUUUGUAAGCAGGAUCUUCCUUCCCCAGUAUCACUAUCCUUAUGCGGUGCCACUUGCAUUCAUACAGACUUAGGACCAACAAAUGUUCAUUCGGUCUGAGGACUGGAAUUGGGAACUGCUGAUGUAGCCUAUUGCAGUGGCGAAGCUAUGGGUGGGCCCAGGUGGGCAAAGGCCCACCCAUUUUCCAGCCAUUCACCCAGUGAGAAGCUGGUAUUUUUAAAUCUCCUGGCACUGCUAGCUUUGCACGGUGUGGGGCUGAUCCACCUGAAGCCUUUUUCACUGAGGCUGGGUGAGCGUUUGUUUGUGCCGGCGGUCUGUGGGAGCGUCCAGUGCGUUCUGGCCAUAUGGGCUGAAGCCUAUUCCCACUCUGGCCUGUUCCCGCUAAUCGCCCGUUUCCUCCCAAUGGUCAGUGUGAGCUUGGGUCACCUGUUUGCACUGAGUAUGCCAGGCUCCAUCCAUGUCUCCUGCUUUCUGACUGUGCUCACUUUUGCCUCAGUCACCAUCACAGCAUGUAAAGGACUUCAUGCGAUGGAGCCGCUGGAGUAUGUCUUCUCUCCCCUCAGCCUUGUCCUCCACAGCCUCUCUCUUGCCUGGCUAGCCAAAGUCUCCCAAACGGAGCGAGGCCAUACCUCGACCUUUGACCUUUACUACACUCUGACAGUGACACGUACCCUCUUAUUAGGGUUUCUAUGUGUGUUGCACCCUGAUGGACCAAAGGCACUGAUUCUUGGCAACUGGCACAGUCUGCUGUUUCUGGGAUACAUGCUCGGGAUGUUACUGCUGGGUGCUGUGCAGCUUCUCUUUGUGGAUUUAACAGCACUGUAUUUUUCUGCUCUCCCAGCAGCCGUGCUGCAUGCGACCAGAGGGCUGGUUCUACCCCUGUUCAGUCUGCUAUAGGACACAUAAACCAAUCAGAGUGUAGAUCAUUCUGAAGAGGAACAGUUAAUGUAGAAUAACCAAUCAAAUACCUGAUACCAUGAUUGAUAAAAACAGUAUUAGAACUUAAUUUAUAUAGGCAUGACAGCCUCAUAUUCACAUGCUAAUUAUAAUUAAUUAAUCUGGUAAUACUACCAGCAAGCACUGAUGUGCGACUCCUUUCUUCGCUUGCCCUGAAAGUACAACACAACUAAGACACACAUCCUGCAAAUGGGGUGUUUUCAUGAAGGCGCUGAUACUUCAGUUCUGAAUUAAAUUAUAAAGGUAAAAUACAGGUUUCUCUGACAAGCUUUUUCGUAAAGACUGUAUUAUUUUUUCGAUGUAUCAGCUGGAUGUUCUGAGAAAGAAUUAUAAUAUAAAAUUAUAUAUAUUUUUUUCUUUUUGCAUAAAGAAGUGGAAGCCUUUUUGGGACCUUUAGGGUAUAUCCUAAACCACAAUUCUUAAUUCCCAUUACAGCAAUGAAAAAUUGUUAUGGUUGUCUAUUAAAAAUCAGACAGGAAUAUAUUCAUCUAUAGUUAAAAUUACAAACUAAAAAAUAAAACCUACGAGUGCCUUACAGUAAUGAGAAUGUAGAAUGUGCUUAAGUUUCAUAAAAAUAAUCCAAAAUGCAAAAAUAACCAACCUUAAAGGUCCUAAAAUUGCUUAAUUUUUUAUGCAAAAUAUAUAUUUUUGAGGGUGAAAUAUGAUCUAAGCAUGUUCUUGACAAGCUUUGUGAAAUUUACCCAAGUAUGUCAUUCACUUUAAAAUAACCUUACAAACAUAGACCAGAGGAGCCUUCCACUGGUAAAAUGCAUGGUUUGUAGAAAUCACAGCUAUAAACUGCAAUACAAGAAUUUAACUUUAUUACAGUAGUGAUAUACUGUUCAAAAAGAAAACCUGUGACUCAUGUUUUUAUGUAGCUCCUAAUAUACAGUACAACUACAGUAUUAUUGUUAAUGUUUGGAGCAAAUAAAACUAUUGAUGAGGCUUUCUCAUGACUAAACCAAA